CGCGCAGGCGGUCUUGUCUGUCAGGUGUGAAAGCUCGGGGCUCAACCCCGGAAGUGCACUUGAAACAGCAAGACUUGAAUACGGGAGAGGAGAGAGGAAUUCCUGGUGUAGAGGUGAAAUUCGUAGAUAUCAGGAGGAACACCGAUGGCGAAGGCAUCUCUCUGGACCGAUAUUGACGCUGAGGCGCGAAGGCGUGGGUAGCGAACG
Molecule: ribosomal RNA, 207 nt
Filed under: uncultured bacterium
Lineage: Bacteria
Description: partial 16S ribosomal RNA
Rfam family: Bacterial small subunit ribosomal RNA
Source: RNAcentral